This 1255-nucleotide ribosomal RNA is filed under the name uncultured Ralstonia sp. RNAcentral describes it as "bacterial SSU rRNA". It matches the Rfam family "Bacterial small subunit ribosomal RNA", at positions 75 to 1329 of the family's 1533-position model. The record is from RNAcentral. Lineage: Bacteria; Pseudomonadati; Pseudomonadota; Betaproteobacteria; Burkholderiales; Burkholderiaceae.
CUAGCUUGCUAGAUUGAUGGCGAGUGGCGAACGGGUGAGUAAUACAUCGGAACGUGCCCUGUAGUGGGGGAUAACUAGUCGAAAGAUUAGCUAAUACCGCAUACGACCUGAGGGUGAAAGUGGGGGACCGCAAGGCCUCAUGCUAUAGGAGCGGCCGAUGUCCGAUUAGCUAGUUGGUGAGGUAAAGGCUCACCAAGGCGACGAUCAGUAGCUGGUCUGAGAGGACGAUCAGCCACACUGGGACUGAGACACGGCCCAGACUCCUACGGGAGGCAGCAGUGGGGAAUUUUGGACAAUGGGCGAAAGCCUGAUCCAGCAAUGCCGCGUGUGUGAAGAAGGCCUUCGGGUUGUAAAGCACUUUUGUCCGGAAAGAAAUGGCUCUGGUUAAUACCUGGGGUCGAUGACGGUACCGGAAGAAUAAGGACCGGCUAACUACGUGCCAGCAGCCGCGGUAAUACGUAGGGUCCAAGCGUUAAUCGGAAUUACUGGGCGUAAAGCGUGCGCAGGCGGUUGUGCAAGACCGAUGCGGAAUCCCCGAGCUUAACUUGGGAAUUGCAUUGGUGACUGCACGGCUAGAGUGUGUCAGAGGGGGGUAGAAUUCCACGUGUAGCAGUGAAAUGCGUAGAGAUGUGGAGGAAUACCGAUGGCGAAGGCAGCCCCCUGGGAUAACACUGACGCUCAUGCACGAAAGCGUGNGGAGCAAACAGGAUUAGAUACCCUGGUAGUCCACGCCCUAAACGAUGUCAACUAGUUGUUGGGGAUUCAUUUCCUUAGUAACGUAGCUAACGCGUGAAGUUGACCGCCUGGGGAGUACGGUCGCAAGAUUAAAACUCAAAGGAAUUGACGGGGACCCGCACAAGCGGUGGAUGAUGUGGAUUAAUUCGAUGCAACGCGAAAAACCUUACCUACCCUUGACAUGCCACUAACGAAGCAGAGAUGCAUUAGGUGCUCGAAAGAGAAAGUGGACACAGGUGCUGCAUGGCUGUCGUCAGCUCGUGUCGUGAGAUGUUGGGUUAAGUCCCGCAACGAGCGCAACCCUUGUCUCUAGUUGCUACGAAAGGGCACUCUAGAGAGACUGCCGGUGACAAACCGGAGGAAGGUGGGGAUGACGUCAAGUCCUCAUGGCCCUUAUGGGUAGGGCUUCACACGUCAUACAAUGGUGCAUACAGAGGGUUGCCAAGCCGCGAGGUGGAGCUAAUCCCAGAAAAUGCAUCGUAGUCCGGAUCGUAGUCUGCAACUCGACUACGGAAGCUGG